Molecule: ribosomal RNA, 933 nt
Filed under: uncultured bacterium
Lineage: Bacteria
Description: bacterial SSU rRNA
Rfam family: Bacterial small subunit ribosomal RNA
Source: RNAcentral
AGAGUUUGAUCCUGGCUCAGAAUAAACGCUGGCGGCGUGCCUAACACAUGCAAGUCGAACGAGAAAGUCCGAUUUCGGUUGGGCGAGUAAAGUGGCGCACGGGUGAGUAACGCGUAGGCAACCUACCCCUGUGUUCGGGAUAACAGUGCGAAAGCGCUGCUAAUACCGGAUAUGUCCAAGAGACGUGGGUUUUUUGGUCAAAGUCGGCCUCUCGAAGAAGCUGACGCGCGGGGAUGGGCCUGCGUCCUAUCAGCUAGUUGGUAGGGUAGCGGCCUACCAAGGCUACGACGGGUAGCUGGUCUGAGAGGAUGAUCAGCCACACUGGCACUGGAACACGGGCCAGACUCCUACGGGAGGCAGCAGUGAGGAAUUUUGCGCAAUGGCCGCAAGGCUGACGCAGCAACGCCGCGUGGGUGAAGAAGGCCUUCGGGUCGUAAAGCCCUGUCAGGUGGGAAGAAUAGCCGGGAGGCGAACAGUCUUUCGGUGUGACGGUACCACCAGAGGAAGCACCGGCUAACUCCGUGCCAGCAGCCGCGGUAAUACGGAGGGUGCAAGCGUUAUUCGGAAUUACUGGGCGUAAAGCGCGUGCAGGCGGGAGGGCAAGUCUGAUGUGAAAGCCCCGGGCUCAACCUGGGAAGUGCAUUGGAAACUGCUUUUCUUGAGUGCUGGAGAGGAAGGGGGAAUUCCCGGUGUAGAGGUGAAAUUCGUAGAGAUCGGGAGGAAUACCAGUGGCGAGGGCGCCCUUCUGGACAGCAACUGACGCUGAGACGCGAAAGCGUGGGGAGCAAACAGGAUUAGAUACCCUGGUAGUCCACGCUGUAAACGAUGAGCACUAGGUGUAGCGGGGUACUCAUUCCUGCUGUGCCGCAGCUAACGCGUUAAGUGCUCCGCCUGGGGAUUACGGUCGCAGACUAAACUCAAAUGAAUUGACGG